Molecule: small RNA, 64 nt
Filed under: Salix viminalis (osier)
Lineage: Eukaryota; Viridiplantae; Streptophyta; Magnoliopsida; Malpighiales; Salicaceae
Source: RNAcentral
UUUAGUUCAUGAUGAAAUUCCUGUUAUUUUUCGAUUGAUUAUGAAUCAGAAACUUGCAACUGGA